Stylophora pistillata is the source of this 449-nucleotide long non-coding RNA. The record is from RefSeq and is a predicted model, not a curated record. Lineage: Eukaryota; Metazoa; Cnidaria; Anthozoa; Scleractinia; Pocilloporidae.
GCGCUUUUAAUUCAAAAUGGCGACUUAGCGGGCGAGAGUUUGUUUACGAUGGACCUGAAAUGUUUGCGGCCGUUUUGCGAAAAUGUUUGGACACAUAAGGGGAUUUCUGACGUCUAAAGAAUCUUUGUUUUUAGUUUCGUAGGAGUUUUACCAUUAUUUGUGCAUAGAAAGAUGAGAAACGUCUGUUUGCUUACUAUAAAGAAAAGUGUCAUUCCAGUUUGGAGUUUGGGUUCUACAUAAGUUGCAUAGAAGUUGUCAUGGAAAUCGUCUCGGAAGGAAGUUUGGAGUCUAUCAGUAGACCUGCAAGUUCCGAUGCCUCAAGAUCUAGAGAUCAAAACUUACCUCAAAAACAUGGUCAAAUAAAAGGUUUUUUAGAGGAGCUCCCUCCAGAAGCUGUCACAAACACCCUAAAUGAAGAUGUUGAUCAUCUUGACUCUGAAGAAGACUCA